Molecule: ribosomal RNA, 589 nt
Filed under: uncultured bacterium
Lineage: Bacteria
Description: partial 16S ribosomal RNA
Rfam family: Bacterial small subunit ribosomal RNA
Source: RNAcentral
UGGGGAAUUUUGGACAAUGGGCGAAAGCCUGAUCCAGCAAUGCCGCGUGUGUGAAGAAGGCCUUCGGGUUGUAAAGCACUUUUGUCCGGAAAGAAAUCCUUGGCUCUAAUACAGUCGGGGGAUGACGGUACCGGAAGAAUAAGCACCGGCUAACUACGUGCCAGCAGCCGCGGUAAUACGUAGGGUGCAAGCGUUAAUCGGAAUUACUGGGCGUAAAGCGUGCGCAGGCGGUUUGCUAAGACCGAUGUGAAAUCCCCGGGCUCAACCUGGGAACUGCAUUGGUGACUGGCAGGCUAGAGUAUGGCAGAGGGGGGUAGAAUUCCACGUGUAGCAGUGAAAUGCGUAGAGAUGUGGAGGAAUACCGAUGGCGAAGGCAGCCCCCUGGGCCAAUACUGACGCUCAUGCACGAAAGCGUGGGGGAGCAAAACAGGAUUAGAUACCCCUGGGUAGUCCACGCCCUAAACGAUGUCAACUAGUUGUUGGGGAUUCAUUUCCUUAGUAACGUAGCUAACGCGUGAAGUUGACCGCCUGGGGAGUACGGUCGCAAGAUUAAAACUCAAAGGAAUUGACGGGGUCAUAGCUGUUUCCU